This 446-nucleotide long non-coding RNA is filed under the name Chloebia gouldiae (Gouldian finch). RNAcentral's name for it is "Erythrura gouldiae (Gouldian finch) lncRNA (ENSEGOG00005014049.1)". Lineage: Eukaryota; Metazoa; Chordata; Aves; Passeriformes; Passeridae. The record is from RNAcentral.
AAGUAAUUUGCUGAGAAGAACUGGCUUGUUGAGUUGUAGGACAUAAGAAUCAUCUUGUUUCAGAGUUUCCCAACAUCAUUAGCAUACUCUGAAAAUUAGUACAAGGUUGAUAUUUCCAGCUGCCUGCGAGGUUCUGUUGUGCGAGACAUAUCCUGAAGAAGUGGUCAUUGUGCCAUCAUGGGCACUGCUCAUCCUAUAGCACACAGGUGUCAAGAGCAUUUGAGGAGUGAAGAGCUGAGCAGUGCUCCCAGGUACCCCAAAGUGCCUCUCCCAGCUGUGACCAGAUCUCAGGCCACAGGGACAGUCAGUGCUGCUGUCUCCAUUGGGCUGUCAAUGAUAUAGAUCCAGCACAGCGUUCUCCCUGCUGAGGCCCUGGACUUCAAUCCGUGCAGAUUUGGUGUUCCACGCAGAUGAACCCAUACAGACGCCAUCAAAGCAUCCUGGGG